CUCCAUUGAAGCUUGAGGAGCCAUCAAUCCUUGGUUGUGUGACCAUUGGUGGAUUGAGACAUUUGGACCAACCGUGAGUGAUCAACCAUUGGAGCAAGCUAUGGAGCUUGAAUAGCUCAUUGGAAUUGGUGUUGGUUUUGGAGUAGAGUAUUGUUGACAUUGGUGAAGAACAAAGGUCGACUGAAGCAUUGAGGUAAGGAUGCUGCAGGAGCCUCUGGUGGCAAGUGGCCAUAUCUGGAUUAUGCAUGAAAUAUGGCAUUUCUUUGAGUUUAUGCAUGCCUUUUGUAGUUGACAUGUAUAGGAUUUUAUUUUGAAAGCCCAUGGUCAUUUGUAUAUCUUGAUUCAUUGGAUGAACUUAGCCUAUGCUCAUGCCUUUGGUUACACCUUUUGUUGAUGGGAGCCAAGGGAAUGAUCAUAGUGUUUUGUAAGCUAAGUUCUAUGAUUUGUAAAGGAUAUGUAAUGUAAAUGA
Gastrolobium bilobum is the source of this 469-nucleotide long non-coding RNA. RefSeq lists it as uncharacterized. The record is from RefSeq and is a predicted model, not a curated record. Lineage: Eukaryota; Viridiplantae; Streptophyta; Magnoliopsida; Fabales; Fabaceae. The transcript is spliced from 4 exons.